This 301-nucleotide ribosomal RNA is filed under the name uncultured bacterium. RNAcentral's name for it is "partial 16S ribosomal RNA". It matches the Rfam family "Bacterial small subunit ribosomal RNA", at positions 509 to 807 of the family's 1533-position model. The record is from RNAcentral.
CAGCAGCCGCGGUAAUACAGAGGGUGCGAGCGUUAAUCGGAUUUACUGGGCGUAAAGCGUGCGUAGGCGGCUAAUUGAGUCGGAUGUGAAAUCCCCGAGCUUAACUUGGGAAUUGCAUUCGAUACUGGUUAGCUAGAGUGUGGGAGAGGAUGGUAGAAUUCCAGGUGUAGCGGUGAAAUGCGUAGAGAUCUGGAGGAAUACCGGUGGCGAAGGCAGCCAUCUGGCCUAACACUGACGCUGAGGUACGAAAGCAUGGGGAGCAAACAGGAUUAGAUACCCCAGUAGUCCCUGUCUCUUAUAC